This 513-nucleotide ribosomal RNA is filed under the name Salmonella enterica subsp. enterica serovar Umbilo. RNAcentral describes it as "partial 23S ribosomal RNA". It matches the Rfam family "Bacterial large subunit ribosomal RNA", at positions 1243 to 1756 of the family's 2925-position model. Lineage: Bacteria; Pseudomonadati; Pseudomonadota; Gammaproteobacteria; Enterobacterales; Enterobacteriaceae. The record is from RNAcentral.
UAAGCCUGUGAAGGUGGCCUGUGAGGGUUGCUGGAGGUAUCAGAAGUGCGAAUGCUGACAUAAGUAACGAUAAAGCGGGUGAAAAGCCCGCUCGCCGGAAGACCAAGGGUUCCUGUCCAACGUUAAUCGGGGCAGGGUGAGUCGACCCCUAAGGCGAGGCCGAAAGGCGUAGUCGAUGGGAAACGGGUUAAUAUUCCCGUACUUGGUGUUACUGCGAAGGGGGGACGGAGAAGGCUAUGUUGGCCGGGCGACGGUUGUCCCGGUUUAAGCGUGUAGGUGUGUGUUCCAGGUAAAUCCGGUUCACUUUAACACUGAGGCGUGAUGACGAGGUACUACGGUGCUGAAGCAACAAAUGCCCUGCUUCCAGGAAAAGCCUCUAAGCAUCAGGUAACAUCAAAUCGUACCCCAAACCGACACAGGUGGUCAGGUAGAGAAUACCAAGGCGCUUGAGAGAACUCGGGUGAAGGAACUAGGCAAAAUGGUGCCGUAACUUCGGGAGAAGGCACGCUGACA